RNAcentral lists this ribosomal RNA (433 nucleotides) under uncultured bacterium. RNAcentral's name for it is "partial 16S ribosomal RNA". It matches the Rfam family "Bacterial small subunit ribosomal RNA", at positions 29 to 507 of the family's 1533-position model. The record is from RNAcentral.
AGCGAACGCUGGCGGCAGGCCUAACACAUGCCAGUCGAACGAACUCUUCGGAGUUAGUGGCGGACGGGUGAGUAACACGUGGGAACGUGCCUUUUGGUUCGGAAUAACUCAGGGAAACUUGUGCUAAUACCGAAUGUGCCCUUCGGGGGAAAGAUUUAUCGCCAUUAGAGCGGCCCGCGUCUGAUUAGCUAGUUGGUGAGGUAACGGCUCACCAAGGCGACGAUCAGUAGCUGGUCUGAGAGGAUGACCAGCCACACUGGGACUGAGACACGGCCCAGGCUCCUACGGGAGGAAGCAGUGGGGAAUCUUGCGCAAGGGGCGAAAGCCUGACGCAGCCAUGCCGCGUGAAUGAUGAAGGUCUUAGGAUUGUAAAAUUCUUUCACCGGGGACGAUAAUGACGGUACCCGGAGAAGAAGCCCCGGCUAACUUCGUG